UGACUUUCUUGGAUUUGAGGUUAGCGC
Molecule: non-coding RNA, 27 nt
Filed under: Bombyx mori (domestic silkworm)
Lineage: Eukaryota; Metazoa; Arthropoda; Insecta; Lepidoptera; Bombycidae
Source: RNAcentral